Molecule: small RNA, 30 nt
Filed under: Arabidopsis thaliana (thale cress)
Lineage: Eukaryota; Viridiplantae; Streptophyta; Magnoliopsida; Brassicales; Brassicaceae
Description: ATSL128670
Source: RNAcentral
UGUUGUUCUUCUUCUUAGGGAUGAUCACUU